CCUACGGGAGACAGCAGUGAGGAAUAUUGGUCAAUGGCCGAGAGGCUGAACCAGCCAAGUCGCGUGAGGGAAGACGGCCCUACGGGUUGUAAACCUCUUUUGUCGGGGAGCAAAGCGAACCACGUGUGGUUCAUUGAGAGUACUCGAAGAAAAAGCAUCGGCUAACUCCGUGCCAGCAGCCGCGGUAAUACGGAGGAUGCGAGCGUUAUCCGGAUUUAUUGGGUUUAAAGGGUGCGCAGGCGGAGGUGCAAGUCAGCGGUCAAAUUGCGGGGCUCAACCCCGUACUGCCGUUGAAACUGCAACCCUUGAGUGCGCGAGAGGUAGGCGGAAGUCGUGGUGUAGCGGUGAAAUGCAUAGAUAUCACGAAGAACUCCGAUUGCGAAGGCAGCAUACCGGCGUGCAACUGACGCUCAUGCACGAAAGCGUGGGUAUCGAACAGGAUUAGAUACCCGGGUAGUC
RNAcentral lists this ribosomal RNA (459 nucleotides) under uncultured bacterium. Its description in RNAcentral is "partial 16S ribosomal RNA". It matches the Rfam family "Bacterial small subunit ribosomal RNA", at positions 338 to 795 of the family's 1533-position model. The record is from RNAcentral.